Molecule: long non-coding RNA, 396 nt
Organism: Stylophora pistillata
Lineage: Eukaryota; Metazoa; Cnidaria; Anthozoa; Scleractinia; Pocilloporidae
Source: RefSeq, a predicted model, not a curated record
GUUUUCCAACAGCUAUCAAACCGACUGCCCCUCCUGUUGAUACGAGCAGCAUGUAUCCGUUUGGCCCUGAGCAGAAUGACACAGAGUUUCUUCUCGAGGAUUCAUGGUAUUAUGACUCCCGGCGAUGCCUACGAAUUAAUACAGACUGGAAGGGAUUCCCCUUCUUCACAGGCAGACAUUAUAAACUGCAUAUAUGCCGCGACGGUAAAAUCCAACUGAACUAUGAGUGGAGCUGGUGGUGGCCGCAGAAGUUUGGUAUCUACCGAUGGUUCAGAAAUGUGGCUGUUAUUGCACCUUUUUGGGCUACGACCGAUACUCACUUCGCCUUCAGAAAAAAUCACUCCAGGGUGUAUUAUCAAGUGUACGAAGAAAAUAAGGGAAGCUCCAAUGAGAUUA